Molecule: regulatory RNA element, 59 nt
Organism: Pseudomonas sp. StFLB209
Lineage: Bacteria; Pseudomonadati; Pseudomonadota; Gammaproteobacteria; Pseudomonadales; Pseudomonadaceae
Rfam family: gabT RNA
Source: Rfam
GGUGGCCGAGAGGCCGCGCCAGUCGAUCAUCGUAUGCUGGCCCGGUUCUUCCUGCUGCU